GCCGUAGAAUGUUGCUCUCUCACCCUUAAAGAGAGCCAUGUAGGAAAACCUAGCAGCCUCAUAAUAAUCAACUUUAAUUUUUUUAAAUUUGUAUUUAUUUCACCUUUAUUUAAGUAGGCAAGUCAGUUAAGAACAAAGUCUUAUUUACAAUGACAGCCUGGAUAUAAUAACUUUACGAGGCAAAGUGUCUAGGAUCAGGUCCACCAUGUUAUUAAUUAGGACGUUAAGGGGCAACACUGAUCCUAGAUCAGCACAAUAACUCUGAGACACUUUGUGAAUACAGGCUCUGAUUAAGUUCUAGAUUCCCCUAGAUGUAUUUUUCUUUUUUUUCUGGUCCUUUGGUUUUGGCUAGAUGGGGUACAGCUACGGACAGAAGUGACUUUAGCUCAAAUUCUACAGUUGUCCCCGAAGCGACUGGACCAUGCAACUUUUGGUCAGUCGUUGUACUCCAUCUAGCCAAAACUGCACCGCCCUAUGGGACUCCCAAUAAUGGCCUGUGGUGAUACAGCUUGGAUAGAAUAUCUUUUAAGAGGCAGAUUCUUGUGAAUUUGUAAAUCUCUCUAUUUUGGCUAUUAUAGGAGGCUGAGAACAUUUGUCCAACAUGAUCUUUCUUAAAUGUCCGAUGUUCCAAAUCUGUGAAAUGGUUCUCUUGGAGAAUCGCUUUAGGCACCUUUUUCUUCUUUAGAAAUGAAAUAAUGUUUGUUUUUUAACAGGAGAAAGCCUCCCUUUUAUGUUUGAAGAUAAUACCAUCUAGAUAUGAAAUGAUUUAAUACAUAUUGAAGUCUAUAUUCCCCUUUUAUUUUAUCCAUCUGAUAGGAGUAUGUACUCUUCACCAACAUUUCCAGAGAUAUGUACUAUAUAUUGUUGAAUUGUCUUAAUACAAACACUACAAUUACAACAUAAAAUACACAAAAAAAGAGAAAUACAAACUUCAGUAUGUGGUGAAAGAAAGGGAGACUAUAGCUUACAUUAGGUGAUAAAUUGCUUCGUGUUUGUUCUUAAGACGCUGCUCUGGUCCAACUUAACCUCACCCUCUCUUGGUAGACACAAAUGCUAUCGUCUGUCAUUCUAUCUGCUCACGCACAGAGAUCAAACUAUUUCCAUCUUUAUGUGUUCACCUCUCUGGUCGCUCUAGAUUCUCCAUUUACAGUUAACCUUAUAACAGGUUGAUGCUAGGGAGAAUCCUUUGGAUGGCCCAAUCCCACCUAGCAUCAACCUAGCAUCAACCAUAUGGCUAGCUUCCAUAUUAAUGUUAUUGUGUCUUUGAAGGCUAGCCAUAGGCCUAUCAGGGCCAAGUCAUAGCUCACAUAUAUCACUCUGUUUUCUGGUGGGUUUUUCUGUUCUGAGCAAGUACUUCUUCUAGGGCUCAUUUUGUUGUUCUUUUGAUCACUUCUGGGCCGGUUGUCACAAAGCGUCUAGGAUCAGGUCCCCCAUGUUAUUAAUUAGAACGUUAAGGGGCAACACUGAUCCUAGAUCAGCAAUAUUACUCUGAGACACUUUGUGAAUACAGGCUCUGAUUAAGUUCUAGAUUCCCCUAGAUGUAUUUAUUAUUUUGUUCUGGUCUUUUGGUUUUGGCUAGAUGGGGUACAGCUACGGACAGAAGUGACUUUAGCUCACAUUUCUACAGUUGUCCCUGAAGCGACUGGACCAUGCAACUUUUGGUCAGUCGUUGUACUCCAUCUAGCCAAAACCUGGCGUUUUUCUCUCUGUGUCACUCUUCUUACUUGCUGUGCUUCCUGUUUCAGACUCACACUUCCAGGCCUUCACGGGCUGAUCUGAUUGUCCGUUGCCCGUCUGACCCCUGACCUCUGAGCCUGAGGUAAAGCCCAAACAAAACAGUCUCCUCCUCCAUCAUCAGCUCCUCCCACCUCCACUGUUGCAUCAUCCAACCCUUCCUCCCAUCCUGCCCCCCGUCACCCCUAGAACACCACUAAACUCUGGGUCCCACCAGCAGCCCAUCUGUUUACUCUCCAAACCACGACCUACCCUGCGUUUUGCCCUCCAAUACUCCCCGUAGUAGAAGACCUGAGUAGUAGACCUCUGGUUAUCACAAGACAACAUAGAGGAUAUAGAAGAGAACGUACAACUGUUUUUUUUGCUGUGUUUACAGUAGGAUGUAGGGAAGUUAAUAUAACCUAUUCAAUAGUGAGAAUGGGUGAACCUUGGAGAGGGAGGCAAGAUGAAUAGAUUGGGGGUAGAUGUCGGGGUUUGAUUACAGGAUAGCUAGUAGCUAGUUAACCGAGGAUGAACAGGAUAGCUAGUAGCUAGUUAACCGAGGAUGAACAGGAUAGCUAGUAGCUAGUUAACCGAGGAAGAACAGGAUAGCUAGUAACUAGUUAUCCAAGGUUGAACAGGAUAGCUAGUAGCUAGUUAACUGAGGAUGAACAGGAUAGCUAGUAGCUAGUUAACCCAAGAUGAACAGGAUAGCUAGUAGCUAGUUAACUGAGGAUGAACAGGAUAGCUAGUAGCUAGUUAACCCAAGAUGAACAGGAUAGCUAGUAGCUAGUUAACUGAGGAUGAACAGGAUAGCUACGAGCUAGUUAACUGAGGAUGAACAGGAUAGCUAGUAACUAGUUAUCCAAGGUUGAACAGGAUAGCUAGUAGCUAGUUAACUGAGGAUGAACAGGAUAGCUAGUAGCUAGUUAACCCAAGAUGAACAGGAUAGCUACCAGCUAGUUAACUGAGGAUGAACAGGAUAGCUAGUAACUAGUUAACCGAGGAUGAACAGGAUAGCUAGUAACUAGUUAACCGAGGAUGAACAGGAUAGCUAGUAGCUAGUUAACCGAGGAUGAACAGGAUAGCUAGUAGCUAGUUAACCGAGGAUGAACAGGAUAGCUAGUAACUAGUUAUCCCUAGAUGAACAGGAUAGCUAGUAGCUAGUUAACUGAGGAUGAACAGGAUAGCUACGAGCUAGUUAACUGAGGAUGAACAGGAUAGCUACGAGCUAGUUAACUGAGGAUGAACAGGAUAGCUAGUAACUAGUUAUCCCAAGAUGAACAGGAUAGCUAGUAGCUAGUUAACCAAGGUUGAACAGGAUAGCUAGUAGCUAGUUAACCGAGGAUGAACAGGAUAGCUAGUAGCUAGUUAACCGAGGAUGAACAGGAUAGCUAGUAGCUAGUUAACCGAGGAUGAACAGGAUAGCUAGUAGCUAGUUAACCCAAGAUGAACAAGAUAGCUUGUAGCUAGUUAACCUAAGAUGAACAGGAUAGCUACUAGCUAGUUAACUGAGGAUGAACAGGAUAGCUAGUAGCUAGUUAACCCAAGAUGAACAAGAUAGCUAGUAGCUAGUUAACCCAAGAUGAACAGAUUGGGAUAGAUACGUAUAGAUGUAGACUAGAGAGAGGUGUGCUGUAACUCCCAGCAGCCUUUGCUGUGGCUCUAAUGUUGCGUCCAUAUCCGUUUGCUCCCAACAGGUCAAAGGUCAAAUCUCCCAAUGGUGCACCUUGUCUCUCAGCGCGCCCCUUUCAGCUUACUGUUGUCUCUCAGCCCACCCCCCUCUGGCGUACUGUACCAGCUGAUCAACACUUUUCAAAGUUUUAUUUGAAAAAGAAAAGUAAACUGACAAAAACAAAUGUAUGUACUUUGUAUGUGUGAGUGUGUGUGUGUAUAUAGCUAAAUUAAAUAAAGACUCUUUGUAAAGUAUUUUCAACCAUAAGUAACUCAUCCACAUUAAAUAAUUAGCAUUUUAACGUGUCUUAUAAGAGAAGUGUCCUGGAAAGCAUUUUAAACCAUGACUACAUGUUUCAAUACCAUGGGAAUGUAUGAUAAUAAAGUUAUC
Molecule: long non-coding RNA, 3778 nt
Organism: Oncorhynchus tshawytscha (Chinook salmon)
Lineage: Eukaryota; Metazoa; Chordata; Actinopteri; Salmoniformes; Salmonidae
Source: Ensembl